UUGAUCUCAAAUCAGGUAGGACUACCCGCUGAACUUAAGCAUAUCAAUAAGCGGAGGAAAAGAAACUAACAAGGAUUCCCCUAGUAACUGCGAGUGAAGCGGGAAGAGCUCAAAUUUAAAAUCUGGCGUGCCUCUGGUCGUCCGAGUUGUAGUCUGGAGAAGCUGUUUUCCGUG
This 174-nucleotide ribosomal RNA is filed under the name uncultured fungus. RNAcentral's name for it is "partial 28S ribosomal RNA". It matches the Rfam family "Eukaryotic large subunit ribosomal RNA", at positions 1 to 170 of the family's 3401-position model. The record is from RNAcentral. Lineage: Eukaryota; Fungi.